GCCAGACUGAACCAGAAUGGCCCUGACAUGGAGACAUACUUUCUUCUGCUGAUUUUGAGAGAAAAAUAACCUCUAUGAGGUUAUUGAGGAUGAGGAAUGGGGAGGACAGCUAUAGGUGGUGAAGUUUUAAACCAGUGCUGCAGGAUUUGCCAGAAUUCCCCUGUCAAUCCUGAUUUAAAUCUGGGCUCUGUCCUGACUUGUUGUCCGUUGGGACAUAUCAUGUAACCUCUCUGCCUUGGUUUUCCCCAGGUGCAGUAGUAUUCGACUACUUUGUAAGGCUUUUGUUAGGAUUAAUCUUCAAUCUUAAGUCUAUUUUGAAGUUGCUAAUUAAAAGAAGAUACUGGUUAAAGCACUUUGAGAAGCUUUAAGAAGCUUUUGAGAAGUUAUCUUAGUUAGCUAAGGAGAACCCUUAGCACAGGCUUUACCUUGCUUAUUCCUUCCCCAGCUGUACAGAUGAUGUGCUACGUUACCGCUUCGGUGGGGUGCUCUACUCAGUGCAAGCUGAAGAAGACCUGUCUCACUUGGCCCAGCUGAAUUGGUAGCCCCACGAAUGUGAGAUCAGAAUUGUCAUGGAAGCCAGAAGUCUCAUUAUUCUUUUAAAAACAUUCAGAUAUUCAGAUAUUCGGAUCUAUUCUAGGUCAAAUUUCGGUGCUUCCAGAGACAUCAUCCAUCAGCAGCACUCUCCUAUGAUCUGCCUAAACUCUACAGAACGGAAGACUUUUUUCCUAUGAACUAUGUAGGU
This 742-nucleotide long non-coding RNA is filed under the name Apteryx rowi (Okarito brown kiwi). RNAcentral's name for it is "lncRNA (ENSARWG00000007068.1)". The record is from RNAcentral. Lineage: Eukaryota; Metazoa; Chordata; Aves; Apterygiformes; Apterygidae.